ACCUACGGGGGGCAGCAGUGAGGAAUAUUGGUCAAUGGCCGCAGGGCUGAACCAGCCAAGUCGCGUGAGGGAUGACGGUCCUAUGGAUUGUAAACCUCUUUUGUCAGGGAGCAAAGGGCGCCACGUGUGGCGUUUUGCGAGUACCUGAAGAAAAAGCAUCGGCUAACUCCGUGCCAGCAGCCGCGGUAAUACGGAGGAUGCGAGCGUUAUCCGGAUUUAUUGGGUUUAAAGGGUGCGCAGGCGGAAUGUCAAGUCAGCGGUGAAAGUUUGUGGCUCAACCAUAAAAUUGCCGUUGAAACUGGAAG
Molecule: ribosomal RNA, 305 nt
Filed under: uncultured bacterium
Lineage: Bacteria
Description: bacterial SSU rRNA
Rfam family: Bacterial small subunit ribosomal RNA
Source: RNAcentral